AUGAACAGCUUGUUGGCUCCACCACAAGUCCCCAUCCAAUUUCCCUCCCUGAUGACGACCCUGAAAACCGACAAAAAACAAUAAGACAUGUCUCACUCCUUGUGCAUGGAAAUGACAACGAGUGAGAAUUCCAUUUCCACGUCACACCAAAUUGACAGAUAACAAAAAGCGAGCAGUUUGAGUUAAGGCAAAAGAGACCCAGCCCUGUUACUGUUAAACUCACUCAUAGAGGGUGCGACGAUACAACACGGUGGGCAUGCAAAGCAUAAAUUUAAAUGUACUAUGCAACAAAAAUUAUGAUAAUUCAUUUUGUAUAUAAAAGAAGGAGUCUCGGCAGAAUCGUUCUCUUUUCUGUGUGAUCCUCGAACGAAAUUGUAGUGCGCGCGUGUGUAGAGUUCAUUUAUUAGAGGUUAGAAAGUUGUUAAAAAAAACCUCGCGGCAAAUUUCUUAAUAUCGAAGUGUUGUUUCUAUUCUAAACUUUCAGGAAUCAUUUCAAAUCUGCUAUAAGUACUUAGUAAAAGAAAGUAGUUAGUAGAAUUAACAAGAUAUGUUUGUGAGUUCAAAGUGUUAAUGUGUAUCCUAUGCUAAAAUAAUUACCACACAAACGAAGAACAAAAACAUCCAAUUAGCCAGAAAUCUAAAGAAAAAGGCCCGAACAAAGGGCCUUUUUCUUCUUGUUCUUCUCCGAGUAUUUCGCAGCACUGAUGUCCGGCAAGAUCGCCGAUAGGCAGCCAGGAGGAUUGGGUACACGGGUAUCGAGUGAACGAAAUGACGGGCGGCCAUCUUGCAAAAUUGCCGAUCGGAGCCGAUACUCGUUCCGCCACCAUCUCAACUGUAGCGGACAGUUCCACGGCCGCUGGUAACCGUCUUCCGUCAAACCAACAGCAUGCACGAGCAACGAAUCCCAAUAUUCAUCGUGUCACCUACUCCGAUACUCCGUCGUCUUCUCCGGUCUGCAAUCCGGCAGCCAAAUCCAGUCUGCCAUCCGACAUCCACUCGGUGUUGCAAUCCAGCAGCCAAUCUUCGCUAGUAAUCCUGUGAGCAACGCUAGAUGGUGAUCCCACCGUCCACAAAUCAGUACCCGAAACCAAAAACGAUUCCUGAAGCUACAACCACCAAGAUCCGGAUCUAUCCCGUCGAACCAGCAUGAGUAUGUACCCCUGUGUGACGUCACUAAUAAAUAGUUAAAUUGUAA
Armigeres subalbatus is the source of this 1195-nucleotide long non-coding RNA. RefSeq lists it as uncharacterized. The transcript has 3 exons. Lineage: Eukaryota; Metazoa; Arthropoda; Insecta; Diptera; Culicidae. The record is from RefSeq and is a predicted model, not a curated record.